GUGGCGACGGGUGAGUAACACGUGGGCAAUCUGCCCUUCACUCUGGGACAAGCCCUGGAAACGGGGUCUAAUACCGGAUAACACUCUGUCCCGCAUGGGACGGGGUUAAAAGCUCCGGCGGUGAAGGAUGAGCCCGCGGCCUAUCAGCUUGUUGGUGGGGUAAUGGCCUACCAAGGCGACGACGGGUAGCCGGCCUGAGAGGGCGACCGGCCACACUGGGACUGAGACACGGCCCAGACUCCUACGGGAGGCAGCAGUGGGGAAUAUUGCACAAUGGGCGAAAGCCUGAUGCAGCGACGCCGCGUGAGGGAUGACGGCCUUCGGGUUGUAAACCUCUUUCAGCAGGGAAGAAGCGAAAGUGACGGUACCUGCAGAAGAAGCGCCGGCUAACUACGUGCCAGCAGCCGCGGUAAUACGUAGGGCGCAAGCGUUGUCCGGAAUUAUUGGGCGUAAAGAGCUCGUAGGCGGCUUGUCACGUCGGAUGUGAAAGCCCGGGGCUUAACCCCGGGUCUGCAUUCGAUACGGGCUAGCUAGAGUGUGGUAGGGGAGAUCGGAAUUCCUGGUGUAGCGGUGAAAUGCGCAGAUAUCAGGAGGAACACCGGUGGCGAAGGCGGAUCUCUGGGCCAUUACUGACGCUGAGGAGCGAAAGCGUGGGGAGCGAACAGGAUUAGAUACCCUGGUAGUCCACGCCGUAAACGUUGGGAACUAGGUGUUGGCGACAUUCCACGUCGUCGGUGCCGCAGCUAACGCAUUAAGUUCCCCGCCUGGGGAGUACGGCCGCAAGGCUAAACUCAAGGAAUUGACAGGGGCCCGCACAAGCAGCGAGCAUGUGGCUUAAUUCGACGCAACGCG
RNAcentral lists this ribosomal RNA (852 nucleotides) under Streptomyces sp. Its description in RNAcentral is "bacterial SSU rRNA". It matches the Rfam family "Bacterial small subunit ribosomal RNA", at positions 95 to 963 of the family's 1533-position model. Lineage: Bacteria; Bacillati; Actinomycetota; Actinomycetes; Kitasatosporales; Streptomycetaceae. The record is from RNAcentral.